CACCUGAUGAUCAAUGAUCCACCUGCAAACAAUGCUCAAUUGCACAACCGUUUCCGCAAGACAUUUUCAAGUAGUUCACACUUUUCAACCAAGGUUCUAUGAUCUCAUCACACUACUCACAUGCACUCUUCAGUUUUUGGUACUUCACUCAAAUCAACACAUCAAUGCAAGUCAACAAUAAUUUUGCAAGUAAUCUAAGAAUUCAUUCGGUUCACUUUGUGCACACACAUUAGAGGUCUUUUAGGGUUAUAACGUGGCUUGGCUAGGGUGGAUGGUGACAUUUUGGAUAAGUAGUAGAAAAA
RNAcentral lists this long non-coding RNA (302 nucleotides) under Trifolium pratense (red clover). RNAcentral describes it as "long non-coding RNA (TPRA_LNC010484)". The record is from RNAcentral. Lineage: Eukaryota; Viridiplantae; Streptophyta; Magnoliopsida; Fabales; Fabaceae.